UAGCAGCACAUCAUUACUGGUAUUCCUUCUCUCUGCAUUGCUGGUAUGAUAUGUGCUGCUCCU
This 63-nucleotide microRNA precursor is filed under the name Monopterus albus (swamp eel). RNAcentral describes it as "Mal-Mir-15-P2d_pre stem-loop". Lineage: Eukaryota; Metazoa; Chordata; Actinopteri; Synbranchiformes; Synbranchidae. The record is from RNAcentral.